AAAUGCAGUCUACCCCUGAACGUGCCCUAUCCUGUCUGAUCUUGAAAGCUAAGCAGGGUUGGGCCUGGUUAGUACUUGGAUGGGAGACCACCUAGGAAUAGCAGGUACCGUAGGUG
RNAcentral lists this ribosomal RNA (116 nucleotides) under Pteropus alecto (black flying fox). The record is from RNAcentral. Lineage: Eukaryota; Metazoa; Chordata; Mammalia; Chiroptera; Pteropodidae.